UUUUGUUAUUGUAAUAUGUCGUUUGUUUUUAUUUUAGUUUUAUGUCGUUGUAACGUAAUUUCCAUUUGUAGGACGUAUUAUGUAAUAUGAGUACUUUUAUUACUAAAUAUUGUACUAUUAUUUAAUUUGUUAUAUUAUAAUAUUAAAUACUAGUAUUACAAUUCACACUCAAUAAAAUAACUAAUACUCAAUAAAUUAUUAUUUAACCCAUGCCAUUAAUUAGCCCAUCUCGUAAUUAACUAUAUUAAUACUACUAAACCUAAUUUUCUCUCAUCGCCGCUACCUUCUUCCAUCUUCCCCUCCUCUGUAAUUUCCCCUUCUCUCUCCCAUCGCCGCUACUUUUCAAUCUUUCCCUUCUUCCUUCUCUGUACAUUCGAUUUCAUCUCCACAUUCUUCACAAGUUCUUCAACCAUCUACAACUCUCUAUAAUUAGGUAAGUAGUUUCUUCAUCUAAUUCUUCUUCUCCAAUUUUCUGUUUCUGCAUCUCUCGGCCCUCGGCCUUCUUCAAAUAUCAUAAAAAAGAAAGGAGUCAAUGGCAAUUUCUGUGGCUUUGGAGAUGCCCUUAGUUAGGAACCUGGAAAAGGGAUGGGAACAGAGAAAAUGGUUGAAGACAUAUUUAAAUGGAAAUGUGACAGAGUCACCAAUUUUGUGGACUACUAUUGCAAUCGAAAACACAAAAAUAACCUCAUCUAUUUCUCGUCGUUCACGGUCUCACCCAUGACCCACAUAAAAUUGUAUCAUCUCAUAUUAUCUAAUGUAAAUGUACACUAUAUUAAUCCAACUCGUAUUUAUUUUGCAUAA
Salvia splendens (bonfire salvia) is the source of this 801-nucleotide long non-coding RNA. RefSeq lists it as uncharacterized. The record is from RefSeq and is a predicted model, not a curated record. The transcript has 2 exons. NCBI's taxonomy places the organism in Eukaryota, Viridiplantae, Streptophyta, Magnoliopsida, Lamiales, Lamiaceae.